CUGUCAACUGACCACAUCUUCUUCCGCUUGUCAAAAUAGUUCUGCUCAGUUUGGUGUUUUAUUACGGAUUUAUUCUCAUAGUACCGUUUCAUAAUUUGAUAUAAUAAUAUAAUAAUAUGCUGAUAUUAAAAUUAAAAAAAAUAAAAAAUGUAAUAUUCGAACUGAAGGAAUUCCCGCCCUAGCGCAAGGACACAUUCUCCUCCAAGCACGCAGUGGAGCUGCUGCGCGCGCAGAAGGAAUAACUCGACCUUCAGUUUCACGGUCAAUCUUCAAUCUGAGGCGAAAAUAAGCAGAUAAGUUCAGUGAGUGCUAAAACCAUGGUCAACAUGAAAGGUCAUAGUUAACGACCACAUCACCAUCUUCUGCAACGCUCUGAUGUUUGCUUCAUACAACUGCUUGAACAUUUCAUACCCAGGAAACCAAGGAGAAACGCAAGAGAUUGUGCAAAGAUUCCUUUUUAAGAUGAACCCCGAGAAGGGAUCGAAAGUGGAGAAGACCACAUCGAGAAAGAAAUCAGCAGUCAGUCCAAAGGUUCUUUCACUGAUUAACAAGAUUGCGGACUUUGAAAGGAUGGAGUAAAACUUGGAGUGUCAGAUCUUCCUACAUUGCCUAGCAGAAAUUCUUGACAGUGUCAAAGACUUAAAAUACUUGCUGAUUAUUUGCUUUCAUGGUUGAUUUUUUUUUUUUUUAAUGCAUCAUCUGUUGUCAAGAUGAAUUAAUCUGUUCACAGGUGGUUCAGUUUUAAGGACAAAU
Molecule: long non-coding RNA, 753 nt
Organism: Carassius auratus (goldfish)
Lineage: Eukaryota; Metazoa; Chordata; Actinopteri; Cypriniformes; Cyprinidae
Exons: 4
Source: RefSeq, a predicted model, not a curated record